RNAcentral lists this ribosomal RNA (1028 nucleotides) under agricultural soil bacterium SC-I-73. RNAcentral describes it as "bacterial SSU rRNA". It matches the Rfam family "Bacterial small subunit ribosomal RNA", at positions 9 to 1035 of the family's 1533-position model. The record is from RNAcentral.
GAGUUUGAUCCUGGCUCAGAUUGAACGCUGGCGGCAGGCCUAACACAUGCAAGUCGAGCGCGAAAGGCCUUCGGGCUGAGUAGAGCGGCGGACGGGUGAGUAACGCGUAGGAAUCUACCUGGUAGUGGGGGACAACUUGGGGAAACUCAAGCUAAUACCGCAUACGCCCUAUGGGGGAAAGCGGGGGACCUUCGGGCCUCGCGCUAUCGGAAGAGCCUGCGUAGGAUUAGCUAGUUGGUGAGGUAAAGGCUCACCAAGGCGACGAUCCUUAGCUGGUCUGAGAGGAUGAUCAGCCACACUGGGACUGAGACACGGCCCAGACUCCUACGGGAGGCAGCAGUGGGGAAUAUUGGACAAUGGGCGCAAGCCUGAUCCAGCCAUGCCGCGUGUGUGAAGAAGGCCUUCGGGUUGUAAAGCACUUUAAGUGGGGAGAAAGGCCCGUUGGCGAAUACCCAACGGGAUUGAUGUUACCCACAGAAUAAGCACCGGCUAACUCCGUGCCAGCAGCCGCGGUAAUACGGAGGGUGCGAGCGUUAAUCGGAAUUACUGGGCGUAAAGCGCGCGUAGGCGGUUUGUUAAGUCAGCUGUGAAAGCCCCGGGCUCAACCUGGGAACUGCAGUUGAUACUGUCCGACUAGAGUACGAGAGAGGGAGGUAGAAUUCCAUGUGUAGCGGUGAAAUGCGUAGAUAUAUGGAGGAAUACCAGUGGCGAAGGCGGCCUCCUGGCUCGAUACUGACGCUGAGGUGCGAAAGCGUGGGGAUCAAACAGGAUUAGAUACCCUGGUAGUCCACGCCGUAAACGAUGUCUACUAGCCGUUGGGAGACUUGAUUUCUUAGUGGCGCAGCUAACGCAGUAAGUAGACCGCCUGGGGAGUACGGCCGCAAGGUUAAAACUCAAAUGAAUUGACGGGGGCCCGCACAAGCGGUGGAGCAUGUGGUUUAAUUCGAUGCAACGCGAAGAACCUUACCAGGUCUUGACAUCCAGAGAACUUGGCAGAGAUGCCUUGGUGCCUUCGGGAGCUCUGAGAC